CGAAUUCGGUUUGCUCUUCCACAACCGCCGCCGCACCACCGUCUCCCGGAGCAGCCACAGCCGCCGCAGCAGGAGCUAGAGAGAGUGGUGAGACACCGAAUUUAUCCUGGAGGUAAUCGACGAGGAUGCGUGCUUCUUCUAGGGUCAGAGACGAGAUCUCGGAACCAAUCUUCUCGAUUUUCUCUGGAGCUUCGACGGCGGCGACGGGACGGAGGUUGAUUGCGCGGUGGCUGAGCGUGGAAGAAGAAGCGCCAAAGCGAGCCGGGAAUUCGACUCCGGUGGGUCGGGAAGGAAAGCGAUGGACGGAAGCGAGAGUGGGAGAAGAUGAUGAACGGAUUGAGCUUGCGAUGGAAAGAGUCGUCGCUGCCAUUUUCGCUCUUCCUCUUGGGAUUUGUUUUGUGUGUCUCUCUGAGUGUGUUUGUUGGGAUAGAUGGAGAAGAUGAGAGGAUAAAAAAACCAAGGAUAAGGGGUAAUUUGGAAAAUAUAAUAUAUGCGUACGCUUGCUGUAUUAUGCGCGUGUAUACACACCAUGGGACUUAAAAGCAAAAAGGGGCGUUCCGAGAAUCGAACUCGGGACCUCUCGCACCCAAAGCGAGAAUCAUACAACUAGACCAAACGCCCUCGUUGAUAUAUUGAGCCAUUUUUCUACUAAGUCCUCAAAAAUAUUCAGAGUUUGUAGUGGAACUGUGGAACAUUCUCCAUUUCAAAAGAAGCAUAUACAUAAUUGUAUUCAGAUUUUAUACUAGUGUACUCGCAUUGAUAGCCUACUAAUACCAAUGUUGAUGGACACCUAAUCUUUUUCAGCUUUCUACAAUAUUUGUUGCUUUUGUUUUCGCAUCUGUAGUCUAAUAGAACGUUGUAAAAUCUUAGAGGAAUGCCUUCUCUGCUUCAAAGCAGAACAACUCUUUCUUCAUUCUGCUUUAUAUGAUUGGUGAAGACAGCUACUUUGGAAGCCAUGCAUGUCUCAUAUAGUCAAAAGAGUCAUACUAUGUUCAUGUCUCCUAAAUCCGUGUAUGAGUAUGUGACUUCUCCCAUUUCCUAUUUGAAGCUAGGCAUUUCUACAAACAUGUUAUCUACUUAUCUGCAGUUACUAAAGAAGCACCCUACAAUGGCUAAAUCCCUUUUCGGAAUCCAAAUUGAUUCACAUUACAAUAAUUUCUCAAACCUGAAUCAACAAUCCCAGACGCAAACUAUGCUAAACAACACCAAACAAACAAAAAACGUUCCAUAAAAUUCCACAAAAGAAGAACACUUUUACAUUUCCGAAUUUCAAGAAGUUUAAGCAAUGGAAACCUUAGCACCAGCUUCUUCAAGCUGCUUCUUCGCUUCUUCAGCUUCAUCCUUCGUCACACCCUCCUUGAACUUCUUCGGCAACCCUUCAAUGAGCUCCUUGGCUUCCUUCAACGCCAAGCUAGUCAAAGCCCUUACCGCUUUGAUCACUGCAAUACGGUUACUGCUUGGCACUUCGUUGAUAACCACAUCGAAUUCGGUUUGCUCUUCCACCACCGCCGCCGCACCACCGUCGCCCGGAGCAGCCACAGCCGCCGCAGCAGGAGCUAGAGAGAGCGGCGAGACGCCGAAUUUAUCCUGAAGGUAGUCGACGAGGAUGCGGGCUUCUUCGAGGGUCAGAGACGAGAUCUCGGACCCAAUCUUCUCAAUUUUCUCCGGAGCUUCCACGGCGGCAAUGGGACGGAGGUGAGUUGCACGGUGGGUCAGUGUGGAAGAAGAAGCACCAAGGCGAAAGGGAAAUUCGAUUGCGGAGGGUCGGGAAAGGAAGCCAUGGGGAGCGGAAGCGGGAGUGAGAGAAGACGAAGAGCGGAUUGUGGUUGCUAUGGAAAGAGUCGUCGCUGCCAUUUUCACUCUUUGAACUCUUCGGAUUUGUUGUGUGUCUCUCUGUCUGUGUUGCUAAAUUGUGCGAGAGACGAAGAAGAUGAGGAUAAAAAAAACCAAGGAUAAGGGGUAAUUUGGGAAACUCAAAAAUACUAACCAUUGCUAUUGUGCACCUAUACACAUCAAGGAAGUUGUACCGUUCAUAGGUUGACGAAAAUACCCUUGAGAAAGGUAAAUAAAUUAAAAUGGGCCAUUCGGAAAAUCGAACUCAUCACCUAUAUCAUAAAUAAUGACAACGAAGGGUCACAAAGACUUUUGAAUAUAGAGUUCACAGUGAAACAAUUUCCCUUUUUCUUUUUUUGUCAACAACUUUGUAGUGGAAACAUUCUUUUAAUUCAAAAGAAGCAUAUAAUAAUCGUAUAUGUAAAUCACAUCGUGUUGUUUCGAUUUCUCCCUUCUAUAUUUUUCCCACCAAUGCUACAAACAAGAGCAAAUCCCAUUUCCUAUGAAUCCAAAAACCUCCCACGUGUUUAAAAGGCCUGCAAAGAGGUUUUUCACCAUCUACGGCGUCUCCUCCCAUACCAAAACGCAAACGCAGCCACAGAUGCAGCAACAACGACUCCAGUCGCCGCGUGCCAUAUAUGCAAAGGCUUCUCCACCAUCACCACUCUUGAACACUGCCUCGCCAUCUCUGAGCUCGGAACUUCCUUAACUUCCGGAACUAUAUGCUGACUCACCACGGUCUGAGCAAACCCAAGUCCUUCUCUUCCCAGUUCUUCCAAGUCAGUCACAGCUGGUUUCAACUGUGUCGCCUUUGAGAUAGUUUCGUAUUCUUCUUUAGUCCCUCCUUCAAGAAAAGACCCAACGAGGUGACCUUUUUUAACCCAAUAUGCUCCAAAGGCUUUACCGACUUCAUACUCCCCAAAGUGCACAACUUCACCUACAGGGUCUCCGUAGAACUGCCACGAGAAGGCAAAGACCCUUGAGUAGAAAAACGGCAAGAGGUCAAAAUCUCCGGUCUUUUCUGGCUCCAUGAUGGCUGAAACUGCGUGGCGUGCAGAUUUCCUAGCCGAGUCCACAUGCUCAAGCCUCCUCGUUUCGCCAAAUAGUUUCACUGGAAAUGUAGCUACAUCGCCUAUUGCAUACACCGAGCUGUCACUUGACUGCAUUUUGCUGUUCACUUUUAUACCACCUUUCUCUAUUGUUAGCUGUCCUUCAAACAAGCUUGUGUUUGGUCGUAUUCCAAUUCCAACCACGACCAAAUCUGCUGGUAACUGGUUCCCAUCUUUGAGAUUAACCGCCGUGACCUGCAAUUCGAAAUCCCAAAAAGAGCAUAUCAAUAAACAAACACAGCGAACAAUGCUCAUGAUUCUUUCCAUCAUGGGAUCAGGAGACUCCGUCGUUGUAUUGAUUCUUUCCAUCUUUUAGUUCUAUACAUAGAUGCAAAAAACCAGACAUCUUUCAAGUUGAAUCUCAAGCUUAAAAAAAAAAAUAUAUCUAACCUUUUUAUUCGAGUCAAACUCAAAUGAUGUCAAAACCGUUCCUUUGAUGAAUUUCACUCCUUUAGCCCUGUAGUAAUCUUCAUACAAAGUUGCAAUCUUGGGCGUAAAGAGACGCGCCACUGUCAUAAGAAACUGAAAAAGGUCAAGCCAACCACACAGACACAAGCUUUCUCUUUUUUACAUGUAAGUUGAGUAAUAAUGGAGAGUACUUACUGCAGUGAGCCUCUGGAAAAACCAUGGUCACAUUGAUCUUGUUGAUCACUAAAGAUGCAGCACACUCCAUGCCGAUAUAGCCACCACCGAUAACAACAGCAUUACCAUUGGAGCUUGAUUGGAUCGCAGUGGAAAGCCUAUUUGCGUCGCUCAGAUCUCGUAAGUAACAAACAUUUUCAGCAUCUGAGCCUUCCACCCCAAAUUCUUCGAGCUUCAACGGCUGCUUCCACAUGUGACAAUAAUAAGGCCACGACUUUAGCAGUUCAAAGCUCUAAGCUUUAAAAUAGUACAAAUUCCUUUAAAAUUGUCCAGGAUAGAGCAUAUUUGCCAUAUCAGUGUUCACAGCAUCUAAUAGACGUUCCAGUAUUACAGAUCCAUUGACUUCAGUCCAUUUAAGACUCUAGUGAUAAUAAGUAAUAACAGAUUGUAACAUCUCAAAGACGAUAAUAUGAUGGUGAGAACCAGUAAUUUAUCAUAUACGUUAAUGGCACCUUCUCACCUGCAGACGCUCUUACUUCGGAAAAACGAAAUCAUAUAUAUUAUUGUGCAAUCCAUACCCUGGCACCUGUUGCGAUGAUCAAGAAUUUGUAACUUAUAGUCUCCCCGGUGCUCGAUAAAAGAGUCUUCCUCCUCACAUCAACGGACUUAACACGAGUUCCAAGCACUAAUUCAAUUCCUGACAAGCAAGUCACAAAAUUGUCAGAGCUUACUCUCAUAGUCAUAGCCCAAGUAAAGUAGUACUUUCUCAAAAUUGGAUGUGCACAUGUAGUUACCAUGUUCCUUGUACCAUUUCGGGGUGAGCUUCUCAUCAUUAGCCCCAACACAAGUGUGGAAAGAAGGAAGGCGUGCAGGAGCUGCAGAUAAGAUCGUGGGUUAACCCUUACAGAGCCUAAUGAGUGAACUAUAACUGAAUCCCUUAGUUCUUGAGAACAUUCUAUACAUCUUAGCUUCCCCAAAUACCAAAAGCAGAAAAACGCAAGCUAUCACGUUUCUCUUACCUUCUGGCAGCAGAAAACCUUUACUUAACGCGGGCCUCUCAUAUGGUGCAACCUAGAGAAACAGAAAAUGCAGAAGCUAAUUACUUACAGAGGGAAACACAUCAUAUCCCUUUUCCUCCCUCUUUAAUAUUGAUUCACAACCAAUACUUUAUAAAACAAGCAGUGAAUGGAAA
This 4716-nucleotide long non-coding RNA is filed under the name Eutrema salsugineum. RNAcentral's name for it is "long non-coding RNA (ESAL_LNC000464)". Lineage: Eukaryota; Viridiplantae; Streptophyta; Magnoliopsida; Brassicales; Brassicaceae. The record is from RNAcentral.